AGUGAACGCUGGCGGUAGGCCUAACACAUGCAAGUCGAACGGCAGCACAGUAAGAGCUUGCUCUUACGGGUGGCGAGUGGCGGACGGGUGAGGAAUACAUCGGAAUCUACUUUUUUGUGGGGGGUAACGUAGGGAAACUUACGCUAAUACCGCAUACGACCUACGGGUGAAAGCAGGGGAUCUUCGGACCUUGCGCGAUUGAAUGAGCCGAUGUCGGAUUAGCUAGUUGGCGGGGUAAAGGCCCACCAAGGCGACGAUCCGUAGCUGGUCUGAGAGGAUGAUCAGCCACACUGGAACUGAGACACGGUCCAGACUCCUACGGGAGGCAGCAGUGGGGAAUAUUGGACAAUGGGCGCAAGCCUGAUCCAGCCAUACCGCGUGGGUGAAGAAGGCCUUCGGGUUGUAAAGCCCUUUUGUUGGGAAAGAAAAGCAGCAGGUUAAUACCCCGCUGUUCUGACGGUACCCAAAGAAUAAGCACCGGCUAACUUCGUG
RNAcentral lists this ribosomal RNA (492 nucleotides) under uncultured bacterium. RNAcentral's name for it is "partial 16S ribosomal RNA". It matches the Rfam family "Bacterial small subunit ribosomal RNA", at positions 29 to 507 of the family's 1533-position model. The record is from RNAcentral.